This 255-nucleotide unclassified non-coding RNA is filed under the name Hevea brasiliensis (rubber tree). Lineage: Eukaryota; Viridiplantae; Streptophyta; Magnoliopsida; Malpighiales; Euphorbiaceae. The record is from RNAcentral.
CCACCCUUACUCAAAGCCUUCUCAGCACUUGACUUUAGUGUCUUUGCUCUAGCCCUUAUCGCAUCACCUUUGUCCUCCAUUACUUGUCUAAUCGUUGUCUCUAUCUCCUCCCUGCCCACCGCUACUGGUGGCGUUGACUUCAACCGAACAGCCACCCCAAUAUCCUCCGUGAGCAUUGUAGCGUUCAUCCUCUGCUCUGCAUAUAGUGGCCAAGCAAUCAUGGGUACCCCAUUUACUAUACUCUCCAGGGUUGAG